Molecule: long non-coding RNA, 284 nt
Organism: Leopardus geoffroyi (Geoffroy's cat)
Lineage: Eukaryota; Metazoa; Chordata; Mammalia; Carnivora; Felidae
Exons: 3
Source: RefSeq, a predicted model, not a curated record
CAGGUAAAAGGAAAAUCAGCUGGAACUUCAAUCAACCAAUGUUACCAUAAGCAAAAGAAGAACUUACAUAUUUGGGGUUAAUAUGUGAAGAACUCAUAGGUUUUAUGACCAACAAUAUAUUGCAAUCCAAGGGAAAAAAUGGAAGCAUUAUGAGCCAUUUUCAAAGGCUGUCUCACAAAAUGCACGCUGUAAUUACUGGACUGAAGAGAAUGAUUCCUUCCUGAUAUGACAAGGUUCCUGAUUCCAGGAGAUGAUUCCAAAAGUGAAUUUUCCACACUGAAUGG